UCUUAAGGUUUUUGCAGCCACGCAAAUCUAGUAGUUCAAGUCGAGAGAGCAAACAAAUUGAUGAGGGUAUUUCUUUUAUUGCAGGUGAAUACAGAUCUAGAACUUUUAUACUCUUUGGAAUUUCCGGAAUCUCCUUUAUUUUUGAGCAAUAAGAGAGAUCAAAGCGUUCAAGAGAUGUCAACCCUCAAUACGUGGCAAACUCCCAAUCAUUUUACAAGAUCUCAAACUUAAG
RNAcentral lists this unclassified non-coding RNA (232 nucleotides) under Hevea brasiliensis (rubber tree). Lineage: Eukaryota; Viridiplantae; Streptophyta; Magnoliopsida; Malpighiales; Euphorbiaceae. The record is from RNAcentral.